UUUCGCCUGAACACUUACCUAAACGAGCGUCCUGAACCUAGGUUCAGGACGCUCGUUUAGGUAGUGUUCAGGCGAAA
This is a non-coding RNA of Marchantia polymorpha subsp. ruderalis, 77 nucleotides long. The record is from the annotation of a GenBank genome assembly. Lineage: Eukaryota; Viridiplantae; Streptophyta; Marchantiopsida; Marchantiales; Marchantiaceae.